This 397-nucleotide ribosomal RNA is filed under the name uncultured bacterium. RNAcentral describes it as "partial 16S ribosomal RNA". It matches the Rfam family "Bacterial small subunit ribosomal RNA", at positions 523 to 918 of the family's 1533-position model. The record is from RNAcentral.
AUACGUAGGGGGCGAGCGUUGUCCGGAAUGAUUGGGCGUAAAGGGCGCGUAGGCGGCCCGGUAAGUCUGGAGUGAAAGUCCUGUUUUUAAGAUGGGAAUUGCUUUGGAUACUGUCGGGCUUGAGUGCAGGAGAGGUAAGUGGAAUUCCCAGUGUAGCGGUGAAAUGCGUAGAGAUUGGGAGGAACACCAGUGGCGAAGGCGACUUACUGGACUGUAACUGACGCUGAGGCGCGAAAGUGUGGGGAGCAAACAGGAUUAGAUACCCUGGUAGUCCACACUGUAAACGAUGAAUGCUAGGUGUAGGAGGUAUCGACCCCUUCUGUGCCGCAGUAAACACAGUAAGCAUUCCGCCUGGGGAGUACGGUCGCAAGAUUAAAACUCAAAGGAAUUGACGGGG